Ostrinia nubilalis (European corn borer) is the source of this 972-nucleotide long non-coding RNA. RefSeq lists it as uncharacterized. The record is from RefSeq and is a predicted model, not a curated record. Lineage: Eukaryota; Metazoa; Arthropoda; Insecta; Lepidoptera; Crambidae. The transcript has 3 exons.
UAUCUUCUAUUUUUCUACUGUAAAAUCACACUCAGCCACACGCUCACACACGUCUGACAUUGAAAAGACAGGGAUUUUUCUUGUUUUGCCGUAUUUUCUAACCUCUUAGAAUGUUAUUAGAAGUCGUAAUAAAAUAAUUUGAAUAUAAAGCUAUGUUUUAAAGUAAAUAAAGACCAUUUAACGAUGUUAACAUGAUGAGACAUCGAUUUUAUGGAAUGGAGGAGAAGAUUUAACAGCUAGAAAUUAACAAAAAUCCUGCAAGAGCAUCGAGAUCUCGCUUUUGGCGAGUGGAAGUCCAAAGGCAAAGUGCAGCGGUUUGCAGUUCUUAGCCUCACUUUUUUGGACCUAACAAGACAGGAAAAGAAUAGUCAAAGAGGAAACCCGAGUAGCCAGAUGAUAAUAUAUGAAACCAUGAGCAGCCAGCCAUUGAAACUCUCAGCAAUUUGAAUAACAAUUUUGAUUGAUUACCAAUCAUGUAUCAUACCUAUUAAUAGAAAAUUAAAACUGUUAGGUACCUAUGUUUUAAUUGAAAUUCAAAAUAUUGUUUAAUGUUUUAUAAGUAUUUAUUAAAUAAAUUGUCACACAUAUAUUUUGUUUUAAUCCCAUUAAUGUCUAUUUGCCCGCAAGUGUUGAUGGUAUUUCUUAAGUGUGCCUAGGAACCUUAGUCCUAUUACUUAUUCUGUGCCGGAGCUGGAUCUUUGUAAGGUUUGGGUAGGGUAGGUACCUGUAAUGAUUAAUAAAUGUUGAUGAGUAGAAUACUAUAACAUUAAUUUUAUAGUUAUUAGUUUAGGUAAAUAAGUUUAUUAAGAUCUAAAACUUUCUGGCUAAAACACUUACGAGCAAAGGUAUGGAAUCACCCUGUUGUGUUUUGUUCUGUAUGAUCUUAAGAACUGAAUGCAUAUGACAUUUGUAUAAAAUAGUUCAUGGAUAAAUCUUAUGUAGGCAUGAGUACCUACCUACUUCUCCGAGUAU